AAGGAUUUAAGUUAAAAAAAACUGUAGCCUUCAAAGCUACCCAUAAAGACCACCCACUUUAAGCCUUA
RNAcentral lists this transfer RNA (68 nucleotides) under Lathrobium brunnipes. RNAcentral's name for it is "tRNA-Trp". The record is from RNAcentral. Lineage: Eukaryota; Metazoa; Arthropoda; Insecta; Coleoptera; Staphylinidae.